GUCAGUAAAAAUUAAACUACUAAAAAAUUCCAACAAGUUUCUAUAUAAAUAAUAUGAUCUAAAGCAUUUAAAUUUUAAAGAAAAUUUUUUUUGCAUUUUAAUAUAUACGAAAAAGUAAUUAUUACAUAAUAUAUACCCAUAUAUAUUCUCUAUGAAAUUCAGGAUGAAGAAUGAUUCUAAACUGCUGUUACGGUUUCUGAGGUCUAUAAUAUUCAAACUGGAAACAAAAACAUGCUUACAAAAUAUAAAAGUUUAACUGAAAAAGUGUUUUUCAUUUGUAUAAGCAAUACUGCAGAAUAUUAAAAAGUAAUAUUUUUAUGCGUUUUCUAACAGUAAGAUUUUGAAGCGAGAAUCAUUUUCCCUCCAAGUAUGUAACGCUUUCUAUAAUAACAACAAUUCUGGUUUUCAAUUCAUUGAGGGAGGUCACAAGAAUCUUUUAAAGAGUGUUUUUCACAUAUCUGCACAGGAAGAAAUCAGACUAUAUAAUACCGAGUGAGCUCGAGUCCAAGGAAUCGGUACUCCACACCCUAUCUAGUGCAUAAGAAAGUAUAUAUCAAGAAAUUCUAUCAAUAGAACAAUAAUAGCCAAUAUGGCACUCUCUAUCUAACUGGAACGCAAUAGUUGCUUGAUGAUAUUUCAAAUGGAGUAACAUAUAGAGGUGGUAGUAUCUCGAGAUAGGUCAUUGCUGUGACUGUCUUUCUCGCAAAGAAAACCAGCCCGAAAUUCCGAACAUGACAAAACACACCAGGCUUUCAACUUUUGCUUUUCUUUCGAAUAUUUAACAGGAUGAAGAUUUUCUAAUCCCUAUCUUUUGCAGUAAUGACGAUUUAACGCCUUGAUAUGCAAUAUAUUGUGUCAUCACUAAAUCUUCAUCUCCAAAGAUAAUUUUUAUCAGCUUUACCUUUUGACAAUAUGUUUUGGAAAAAUGCAAAUAACAAUGAAAAUUAUCUAGUUGUAAAGCAAACAUUAUCUGCAGUAGGCAGGGAGAGAGUUAAAGAUCCUUAUGAACAAUUUUCCGAAUAAUCACUUGUGACAUACCUAAUUGAAAAAAAUCUCCUUCUGGUUGAUUUGUGUGGGUUUUGAGAAAAUGCUUCCUGAUUUAAUAAACAUUUUCCUGCAAGAUAUUCUGUCUAUUCCCGCUGGAUGGUCGGGUGGUAAAGCAGUCGCUUACUACUUUGCCGCACCAGAUUCAAAUCCAUGUCCUACAUUUCCAAUUUUUCAGGAAAGUUCUGGGCACGGCUGGUUGAAUUCCUCCUUCAACCUUCCGGUUGAUCUUACCAUGAUGUGUUCCAGCCUUCAGUAGGUCAUACAAAAUUGGC
RNAcentral lists this long non-coding RNA (1319 nucleotides) under Androctonus crassicauda. Lineage: Eukaryota; Metazoa; Arthropoda; Arachnida; Scorpiones; Buthidae. The record is from RNAcentral.